RNAcentral lists this ribosomal RNA (615 nucleotides) under Entoloma zuccherellii. Its description in RNAcentral is "eukaryotic LSU rRNA". The stretch from base 245 to 398 matches the Rfam family "5.8S ribosomal RNA". Lineage: Eukaryota; Fungi; Basidiomycota; Agaricomycetes; Agaricales; Entolomataceae. The record is from RNAcentral.
GAUCAUUAUUGAAUAAACUUGGUUAGGUUGCUGCUGGUCUUUAGGGACAUGUGCACAUCUAAUUCAAAUUUUAACCACCUGUGCACCUUUUGUAGACUUGGAUAAUUUCUCUGAGGAAACUCAGUAUGAGGAUUGCUGUGCGAAAGUCAGCUUUUCUUGCAUUUCCUAGUCUAUGUUUUAUAUACCCCAAUAAGCAAGUAAUAGAAUGUAAUUAAUAGGCCUUUUGUGCCUUUAAAACAAAUAUAACUUUCAACAACGGAUCUCUUGGCUCUCGCAUCGAUGAAGAACGCAGCGAAAUGCGAUAAGUAAUGUGAAUUGCAGAAUUCAGUGAAUCAUCGAAUCUUUGAACGCACCUUGCGCUCCUUGGUAUUCCGAGGAGCAUGCCUGUUUGAGUGUCAUGAAUCUCUCAACCUUUUCAGUUUUUAUUAACUGGUCUGGCUUGGAUUGUGGGGGUUGCUGGCUUUAUCCAAAGUUUGCUCUCCUUAAAUGUAUUAGCAAUGUCUUUGCUGACCAUCUCUGGUGUGAUAAUUAUCUACGCCAUUGGGAAAUCAGCAUAUGCUUCUAAUAGUCUGUUUGGACAAUUUUUGACAAUUUGACCUCAAAUCAGGUAGGAUU